CCUACGGGCGGCAGCAGUGGGGAAUAUUGGACAAUGGGGGGAACCCUGAUCCAGCCAUGCCGCGUGUGUGAAGAAGGCCCUCGGGUUGUAAAGCACUUUCAGUGAGGAAGAACGCCUGGUGGUUAAUACCCAUCAGGAAAGACAUCACUCACAGAAGAAGCACCGGCUAACUCCGUGCCAGCAGCCGCGGUAAUACGGAGGGUGCGAGCGUUAAUCGGAAUUACUGGGCGUAAAGCGCGCGUAGGUGGCUUGAUAAGCCGGUUGUAAAAGCCCCGGGCUCAACCUGGGAACGGCAUCCGGAACUGUCAAGCUAGAGUGCAGGAGAGGAAGGUAGAAUUCCCGGUGUAGCGGUGAAAUGCGUAGAGAUCGGGAGGAAUACCAGUGGCGAAGGCGGCCUUCUGGACUGACACUGACACUGAGGUGCGAAAGCGUGGGUAGCAAACAGGAUUAGAUACCCUGGUAGUC
Molecule: ribosomal RNA, 465 nt
Filed under: Vreelandella stevensii
Lineage: Bacteria; Pseudomonadati; Pseudomonadota; Gammaproteobacteria; Oceanospirillales; Halomonadaceae
Description: partial 16S ribosomal RNA
Rfam family: Bacterial small subunit ribosomal RNA
Source: RNAcentral